This 253-nucleotide ribosomal RNA is filed under the name uncultured bacterium. RNAcentral's name for it is "partial 16S ribosomal RNA". It matches the Rfam family "Bacterial small subunit ribosomal RNA", at positions 524 to 776 of the family's 1533-position model. The record is from RNAcentral.
UACGAAGGGGGCUAGCGUUGCUCGGAAUUACUGGGCGUAAAGCGCACGUAGGCGGUUUGUUAAGUCGGGGGUGAAAUCCUGGAGCUCAACUCCAGAACUGCCUUCGAUACUGGCGAUCUCGAGUUCGGGAGAGGUGAGUGGAACUGCGAGUGUAGAGGUGAAAUUCGUAGAUAUUCGCAAGAACACCAGUGGCGAAGGCGGCUAACUGGUCCGGUUCUGACGCUGAGGCGCGAAAGCGUGGGGAGCAAACAGG